GAUGAACGCUGGCGGCGUGCCUAACACAUGCAAGUCGAACGGACGGACGAUAAGCUUGUGUCUCUAUGGUUAGCGGCGGGCGGGUGAGUAACGCGUGUAUCACCUACUUAUUUUUCUGGGAUAAUUACGUAAAUCCGGAUAUUAUACCAUAGAAUAUUUUGAACCGCAGGGUGCAAAGGAAAAUUACGGCCUUUGUGGCUCGAAUAGAUGCAUCCGCGCUGCAUUAGCUAGUUGGUAAGGUAACAGCUUACCAAGGCAACGAUGCAUGGCCGACCUGAGGGAGUGAUCGGCCACACUGGAACUGAGACACGGUCCAGACUCCUACGGGAGGCAGCAGUAGGGAAUGUUCGGCAAUGGGCGAAAGCCUGACGCAGCAACGCCGCGUGAGUGAUGAAGGCCUUCGGAUCGUAAAGCUCUGUUAUUAGGUAAGAACAUCUGUGGAAGGAAACGUGGCUAUCUUGACGGUACCUAAUAAAAAAGCACCGGCUAACUACGUG
This 497-nucleotide ribosomal RNA is filed under the name uncultured bacterium. RNAcentral's name for it is "partial 16S ribosomal RNA". It matches the Rfam family "Bacterial small subunit ribosomal RNA", at positions 28 to 507 of the family's 1533-position model. The record is from RNAcentral.